GUAGGGUGCGAGCGUUGUCCGGAAUUAUUGGGCGUAAAGAGCUCGUAGGCGGUCUGUCGCGUCUGCUGUGAAAACCCGAGGGCUCAACCUCGGGCCUGCAGUGGGUACGGGCAGACUAGAGUGCGGUAGGGGAGAAUGGAAUUCCUGGUGUAGCGGUGGAAUGCGCAGAUAUCAGGAGGAACACCGAUGGCGAAGGCAGUUCUCUGGGCCGUAACUGACGCUGAGGAGCGAAAGCGUGGGGAGCGAACAGGAUUAGAUACCCUGGUAGUCCACGCCGUAAACGUUGGGCGCUAGAUGUGGGGACCAUUCCACGGUUUCCGUGUCGCAGCUAACGCAUUAAGCGCCCCGCCUGGGGAGUACGGCCGCAAGGCUA
This 373-nucleotide ribosomal RNA is filed under the name uncultured organism. Its description in RNAcentral is "partial 16S ribosomal RNA". It matches the Rfam family "Bacterial small subunit ribosomal RNA", at positions 527 to 896 of the family's 1533-position model. The record is from RNAcentral.